Molecule: long non-coding RNA, 1130 nt
Filed under: Fragaria vesca (wild strawberry)
Lineage: Eukaryota; Viridiplantae; Streptophyta; Magnoliopsida; Rosales; Rosaceae
Description: long non-coding RNA (FVES_LNC005052)
Source: RNAcentral
UCCUCGAUGUCGCAUUGGCCCCCUGCAAUGCUCAUUGCUCGUUUUGAAAGCAUAUUCUUUAGCUAAAUAAGGAUGAGACCCUCCUACGCUAAAUAACACAAAAGUGAACAUUCUAUUCUUACAUCAAACUAUGUAGAUAGAUACAACCAACUUGCGGACACUUUUUUAUGCUUUAUGGUGUUGGUUGACGUGUUAACACACUGGUCACGUGUUACACUAUUAUCUACUGCUUAUACUGCUUAUACUUCUACAGGCUCACUACCCAUUCUUUAAAGAAGUUCAUCGGGAUGUAAGUUGAAGUGUCCUGUACCCCAUGUUCACACGCAAUACGGUCUCACCGAGGCUACGACCAAGCAACUUUAGCUUGUCGCUCGAACAUUAUUGAUGCGCACCACUCUUUCUAUUGCGUCUUGGGGCUAUACAAUAUUUGCAUGCAGCUUUACUAUUCAUCUACGACCCACAAUCAUUGAAUAUUUUUGUACUACAGCUCGUGACUGUGUACCAGGAUUGACACGAAAUUGCAAUCCUUGAGCUCGGCAGGAUUGAAACGGAUCUCCAAUCCUUGAGCUCGGCUAGAUGUUAUUUCUAGGUGCCAAAUCGCAUUGCCACUGCGUACAAUGAUGCGUCAUUUGAGAUGAAUAAGUUUAGGUUGGAUAUGAACCUCCAGCUAUAAUCCGCAUAUGUAGGAAUCUUGUUAGGCGAUCUCAUUCACCGCUAAAUUGCGGAUUGUCACUUUGAUGAGACAAUAUUCCCGCCGUUAGGGGGAGAUAAGAACACAAGUGUUCAAGUGGAACGACAUGAAUUGUCGUGGGAUAGGUCCACACCAUUAGAUCUGUUUUUUAAUGAGCUUGGAUGGUUGAGAUUAAAACAAAAAACUUAACACUUAUGUCAAACCUACACCGUUCAAGAUUAUUAAAAACAAAUCCCUCAUUUGGAUGACUUAACGAUCACCAAAUUUUCUGAAAAUUUGUAGAAAUGAUCUACUCAUAUAGCCUAAUGAACUGAACGGUGGAGAUUUGAUUUUGUGAUUGAAAAGUUCGUGAAAUGAUAUAUCCCUAAAAAUGAACAAAAAAAUGAAUCCCUCAUUGGAAUAUAUAUAUAUAUAUAUAUAUAUAUAUAUAUAUAUAUAU